RNAcentral lists this ribosomal RNA (1212 nucleotides) under Triticum aestivum (bread wheat). Its description in RNAcentral is "partial small subunit ribosomal RNA". Lineage: Eukaryota; Viridiplantae; Streptophyta; Magnoliopsida; Poales; Poaceae. The record is from RNAcentral.
AUGAAUCCCCUGACGCAGGUGAAGCGGACGCAGGUGAUAAACCAGAAGGAGGCGGCGCUGGGCCUCAGCGAGGACGCCUCGUGGCACGCCAAGUUCAGGGGCUCCGCCUACGUCUUCGUCGGCGGCGUCCCCUUCGACCUCACCGAGGGCGACCUCCUCGCCGUCUUCGCGCAGUACGGCGAGGUGGUCGACGUGAACCUCGUGCGCGACAAGGCCACCGGCAAGUCCAAGGGCUUCGCGUUCGUCGCGUAUGAGGACCAGAGGAGCACGGUUCUUGCCGUCGAUAAUUUGAAUGGGGCUAAGGUUCUUGGGAGGAUCAUCAGGGUUGACCAUGUGGAGAAGUACAAGAAGAAGGAGGAGGAGGACGAGGAGGAGCUGCAGAAGAAGAGGGAGGAGCGCGGCGUGUGCUAUGCUUUCCAGAAAGGCGAGUGCAACCGUGGAGAUGCCUGCAAAUAUUCCCAUGAUGAACAGAGAAAUGCAAACACUGGUUGGGGUUCUAAGGAGGAUGACCCAAAAUGGGAGCAUGACAGGCACCGUGGUCCACAAAAUAAGGGGGAAUCCCGUGGCAUCUGCUAUGCUUUCCAGAAAGGCGAAUGCAGUCGGGGAGAUUCCUGCAGAUUUUCGCAUGAUGAGCAGGUAGCUGUCCAGGGCCGUGGCGUCUGCUACGCUUUCCAGAAAGGCGAGUGCAGUCGCGGAGCUUCCUGCAGAUUUUCACAUGAUGAGCAGUCCGUAGCAGAUAUGUCGUUUCGGAGAACAUUCCCACAUUGCCAGAGAGGAAUGCACCAAAAUCCACCAAAGAGCCACAAAAAUUUCCCUGACAGGAAUAAAGAAGAGACGAGAUCAGGGGAUAGGGAUGGUCAAUCCUCAAGAUCAGAGUUGCACAGGGACCGAGAUUCUAGGUCGAGACACGGCGAUAGAGACACAAAAGAUAGUGACAGGAACAGGCACGAGAAAUCCCCCGAGAGAUCAAGAGGUGACAGGCAGAGAGGCGAUGACAGGGGAAGAGAAGAUAGAUCAGACACAAAAGAUAGGGACAGGAACAGGCAUGAGAAAUCCCCUGAGAGAUCAAGAGGCGACAGGCAGAGAGGCGAUGACAGGGGAAGAGAAGAUAGAUCAGAGAGCAGACGGUCUAGGCACGACAGAGACUCUGGUCGCCGUCACGAAAGAAGGGGUGACGAAGAGGAAGAACGGUACCGGAAAUCACGGAGAUAA